RNAcentral lists this ribosomal RNA (454 nucleotides) under uncultured Prevotella sp. Its description in RNAcentral is "bacterial SSU rRNA". It matches the Rfam family "Bacterial small subunit ribosomal RNA", at positions 341 to 792 of the family's 1533-position model. Lineage: Bacteria; Pseudomonadati; Bacteroidota; Bacteroidia; Bacteroidales; Prevotellaceae. The record is from RNAcentral.
ACGGGAGGCAGCAGUGAGGAAUAUUGGUCAAUGGACGGAAGUCUGAACCAGCCAUGCCGCGUGCAGGAAUAAGGCCCUAUGGGUCGUAAACUGCUUUUGUGGUGGAGCAAUAAGGCGUACGUGUACGUCGAUGAGAGUACAUCACGAAUAAGCAUCGGCUAACUCCGUGCCAGCAGCCGCGGUAAUACGGAGGAUGCAAGCGUUAUCCGGAUUUAUUGGGUUUAAAGGGAGCGUAGGCCGUGCUUUAAGCGUGUUGUGAAAUGUAGGCGCCCAACGUCUGCACUGCAGCGCGAACUGGAGCACUUGAGUACGCAGGAAGUAGGCGGAAUUCGUCGUGUAGCGGUGAAAUGCUUAGAUAUGACGAAGAACUCCGAUUGGGAAGCCAGCUUACUGUAGCGCCACUGACGCUGAUGCUCGAAAGCGUGGGUAUCGAACAGGAUUAGAUACCCUGGUA